This 944-nucleotide ribosomal RNA is filed under the name uncultured bacterium. Its description in RNAcentral is "bacterial SSU rRNA". It matches the Rfam family "Bacterial small subunit ribosomal RNA", at positions 51 to 987 of the family's 1533-position model. The record is from RNAcentral.
ACACAUGCAAGUCGAGGGGCAGCAUGGUCUUAGCUUGCUAAGGCCGAUGGCGACCGGCGCACGGGUGAGUAACGCGUAUCCAACCUGCCUUACACUCUUGGACAGCCUUCUGAAAGGGAGAUUAAUACAAGAUGUUAUCAUGAGUAAGCAUUUUCGCAUGAUUAAAGGUUUACCGGUGUAAGAUGGGGAUGCGUUCCAUUAGAUAGUAGGCGGGGUAACGGCCCACCUAGUCUUCGAUGGAUAGGGGUUCUGAGAGGAAGGUCCCCCACAUUGGAACUGAGACACGGUCCAAACUCCUACGGGAGGCAGCAGUGAGGAAUAUUGGUCAAUGGACGAGAGUCUGAACCAGCCAAGUAGCGUGAAGGAUGAAGGUUCUAUGGAUUGUAAACUUCUUUUAUACGGGAAUAAACGAAUCCACGCGUGGAUUUUUGCAUGUACCGUAUGAAUAAGGAUCGGCUAACUCCGUGCCAGCAGCCGCGGUAAUACGGAGGAUCCGAGCGUUAUCCGGAUUUAUUGGGUUUAAAGGGAGCGUAGAUGGGUUGUUAAGUCAGUUGUGAAAGUUUGCGGCUCAACCGUAAAAUUGCAAUUGAUACUGGCAGUCUUGAGUACAGUUGAGGUAGGCGGAAUUCGUGGUGUAGCGGUGAAAUGCUUAGAUAUCACGAAGAACUCCGAUUGCGAAGGCAGCUUACUAACCUGUAACUGACAUUGAUGCUCGAAAGUGUGGGUAUCAAACAGGAUUAGAUACCCUGGUAGUCCACACGGUAAACGAUGAAUACUCGCUGUAGGCGAUAUACAGUCUGCGGCCAAGCGAAAGCAUUAAGUAUUCCACCUGGGGAGUACGCCGGCAACGGUGAAACUCAAAGGAAUUGACGGGGGCCCGCACAAGCGGAGGAACAUGUGGUUUAAUUCGAUGAUACGCGAGGAACCUUACCCGGGCUUAAAUU